AUCCAGACUCCUACGGGAGGCAGCAGUGGGGAAUAUUGCACGAUGGGGGGAACCCUGAUGCAGCGACGCCGCGUGGGUGAAGGAGUAUUUCGGUAUGUAAAGCCCUAUCAGCAGGGAAGAACAAUGACGGUACCUGACUAAGAAGCACCGGCUAAAUACGUGCCAGCAGCCGCGGUAAUACGUAGGGGGCAAGCGUUAUCCGGAUUUACUGGGUGUAAAGGGGGCGCAGACGGCAGCGCAAGCCAGGAGUGAAAGCCCGGGGCCCAACCCCGGGACUGCUCUUGGAACUGCGCGGCUGGAGUGCAGGAGGGGCAGGCGGAAUUCCUGGUGUAGCGGUGAAAUACGUAGAUAUCAGGAGGAACACCGGUGGCGAAGGCGGCCUGCUGGACUGCGACUGACGGUGAGGCCCGAAAGCGUGGGGAGCAAACAGGAUUAGAGACCCUA
This 444-nucleotide ribosomal RNA is filed under the name uncultured bacterium. Its description in RNAcentral is "partial 16S ribosomal RNA". It matches the Rfam family "Bacterial small subunit ribosomal RNA", at positions 329 to 789 of the family's 1533-position model. The record is from RNAcentral.